GAUCCUGGCUCAGGAUGAACGCUGGCGGCGUGCCUAACACAUGCAAGUCGAACGAAGCAAUCAGAAAGAAGUUUUCGGAUGGAUUUCUGGUUGACUGAGUGGCGGACGGGUGAGUAACGCGUGGAUAACCUGCCUCACACUGGGGGAUAACAGUUAGAAAUGGCUGCUAAUACCGCAUAAACGCACAGUACCGCAUGGUACGGUGUGAAAAACUCCGGUGGUGUGAGAUGGAUCCGCGU
This 239-nucleotide ribosomal RNA is filed under the name uncultured bacterium. RNAcentral describes it as "partial 16S ribosomal RNA". It matches the Rfam family "Bacterial small subunit ribosomal RNA", at positions 15 to 236 of the family's 1533-position model. The record is from RNAcentral.